UCCAAAUACUAACCAGGCCCGACCCUGCUUAGCUUCCAAGAUCAAAUGAGAUUGGGCUCAUUCAGGGUGGUAUGGC
RNAcentral lists this small RNA (76 nucleotides) under Cricetulus griseus (Chinese hamster). The record is from RNAcentral. Lineage: Eukaryota; Metazoa; Chordata; Mammalia; Rodentia; Cricetidae.